RNAcentral lists this ribosomal RNA (495 nucleotides) under uncultured bacterium. RNAcentral's name for it is "partial 16S ribosomal RNA". It matches the Rfam family "Bacterial small subunit ribosomal RNA", at positions 28 to 507 of the family's 1533-position model. The record is from RNAcentral.
GACGAACGCUGGCGGCGUGCCUAAUACAUGCCAGUAGAACGCUGAAGGAGGAGCUUGCUUCUCUGGAUGAGUUGCGAACGGGUGAGUAACGCGUAGGUAACCUGCCUGGUAGCGGGGGAUAACUAUUGGAAACGAUAGCUAAUACCGCAUAAGAGUAGAUGUUGCAUGACAUUUGCUUAAAAGGUGCAAUUGCAUCACUACCAGAUGGUCCUGCGUUGUAUUAGCUAGUUGGUGGGGUAACGGCUCACCAAGGCGACGAUACAUAGCCGACCUGAGAGGGUGAUCGGCCACACUGGGACUGAGACACGGCCCAGACUCCUACGGGAGGCAGCAGUAGGGAAUCUUCGGCAAUGGACGGAAGUCUGACCGAGCAACGCCGCGUGAGUGAAGAAGGUUUUCGGAUCGUAAAGCUCUGUUGUAAGAGAAGAACGAGUGUGAGAGUGGAAAGUUCACACUGUGACGGUAUCUUACCAGAAAGGGACGGCUAACUACGUG